UACGAAGGGGGCUAGCGUUGCUCGGAAUCACUGGGCGUAAAGCGCACGUAGGCGGCUUUCUAAGUCAGGGGUGAAAUCCUGGAGCUCAACUCCAGAACUGCCUUUGAUACUGGAGAGCUUGAGUCCGGGAGAGGUGAGUGGAACUCCGAGUGUAGAGGUGAAAUUCGUAGAUAUUGGGAAGAACACCGGUGGCGAAGGCGGCUCUCUGGACCGAGACUGACGCUGAGGCGCGAAAGCGUGGGGAGCAAACAGG
Molecule: ribosomal RNA, 253 nt
Filed under: uncultured bacterium
Lineage: Bacteria
Description: partial 16S ribosomal RNA
Rfam family: Bacterial small subunit ribosomal RNA
Source: RNAcentral